This 1037-nucleotide ribosomal RNA is filed under the name Listeria monocytogenes. RNAcentral describes it as "partial 23S ribosomal RNA". It matches the Rfam family "Bacterial large subunit ribosomal RNA", at positions 338 to 1375 of the family's 2925-position model. The record is from RNAcentral. Lineage: Bacteria; Bacillati; Bacillota; Bacilli; Caryophanales; Listeriaceae.
GCGGUCUGGAAAGGCCCGCCAAAGACGGUAACAGCCCGGUAGUUGAAAUGGCUUUCCCUCCAGAGUGGAUCCUGAGUACGGCGGAACACGUGAAAUUCCGUCGGAAUCCGGGAGGACCAUCUCCCAAGGCUAAAUACUCCCUAGUGACCGAUAGUGAACCAGUACCGUGAGGGAAAGGUGAAAAGCACCCCGGAAGGGGAGUGAAACAGUUCCUGAAACCGUGUGCCUACAAGUAGUUAGAGCCCGUUAAUGGGUGAUAGCGUGCCUUUUGUAGAAUGAACCGGCGAGUUACGAUUUGUUGCAAGGUUAAGCGGAAAAAGCGGAGCCGUAGCGAAAGCGAGUCUGAAUAGGGCGCAUAAGUAACAGGUCGUAGACCCGAAACCAGGUGAUCUACCCAUGUCCAGGAUGAAGGUAAGGUAAUACUUACUGGAGGUCCGAACCCACGCACGUUGAAAAGUGCGGGGAUGAGGUGUGGGUAGCGGAGAAAUUCCAAUCGAACUUGGAGAUAGCUGGUUCUCUCCGAAAUAGCUUUAGGGCUAGCCUCGAGGUAAAGAGUCAUGGAGGUAGAGCACUGUUUGGACUAGGGGCCCUUCUCGGGUUACCGAAUUCAGAUAAACUCCGAAUGCCAUGUACUUAUACUCGGGAGUCAGACUGCGAGUGAUAAGAUCCGUAGUCGAAAGGGAAACAGCCCAGACCACCAGUUAAGGUCCCCAAAUAUAUGUUAAGUGGAAAAGGAUGUGGGGUUGCUUAGACAACCAGGAUGUUGGCUUAGAAGCAGCCACCAUUGAAAGAGUGCGUAAUAGCUCACUGGUCGAGUGACCCCGCGCCGAAAAUGUACCGGGGCUAAACAUAUUACCGAAACUGUGGAUGAACCUCUUUAGAGGUUCGUGGUAGGAGAGCGUUCUAAGGGCGGUGAAGUCAGACCGGAAGGACUGGUGGAGCGCUUAGAAGUGAGAAUGCCGGUAUGAGUAGCGAAAGAAGGGUGAGAAUCCCUUCCACCGAAUAUCUAAGGUUUCCUGAGGAAGGCUCGUCCGCUC